RNAcentral lists this ribosomal RNA (435 nucleotides) under uncultured bacterium. Its description in RNAcentral is "partial 16S ribosomal RNA". It matches the Rfam family "Bacterial small subunit ribosomal RNA", at positions 29 to 507 of the family's 1533-position model. The record is from RNAcentral.
AGCGAACGCUGGCGGCAGGCUUAACACAUGCAAGUCGAGCGGGCAUAGCAAUAUGUCAGCGGCAGACGGGUGAGUAACGCGUGGGAACGUACCUUUUGGUUCGGAGCAACUGAGGGAAACUUCAGCUAAUACCGGAUAAGCCCUUACGGGGAAAGAUUUAUCGCCGAAAGAUCGGCCCGCGUCUGAUUAGCUAGUUGGUGAGGUAAUGGCUCACCAAGGCGACGAUCAGUAGCUGGUCUGAGAGGAUGAUCAGCCACAUUGGGACUGAGACACGGCCCAAACUCCUACGGGAGGCAGCAGUGGGGAAUAUUGGACAAUGGGCGCAAGCCUGAUCCAGCCAUGCCGCGUGAGUGAUGAAGGCCCUAGGGUUGUAAAGCUCUUUUGUGCGGGAAGAUAAUGACGGUACCGCAAGAAUAAGCCCCGGCUAACUUCGUG